AGGAUGAACGCUAGCGGCAGGCUUAACACAUGCAAGUCGAGGGGUAACAGGAGAGCUUGCUCUCGCUGACGACCGGCGCACGGGUGAGUAACGCGUAUGCAACCUACUUUUUACUGGAGAAUAGCUCCGAGAAAUCGGGAUUAAUACUCCAUAACAUUUCGAAAUGGCAUCAUUUUGAAAUUAAAGCUCCGGCGGUAAUUAAUGGGCAUGCGUGACAUUAGUUAGUUGGUGAGGUAACGGCUCACCAAGACUGCGAUGUCUAGGGGGUCUUAAAGGAUGAUCCCCCACACUGGUACUGAGACACGGACCAGACUCCUACGGGAGGCAGCAGUGAGGAAUAUUGGGCAAUGGACGCAAGUCUGACCCAGCCAUGCCGCGUGCAGGAUGACUGCCCUAUGGGUUGUAAACUGCUUUUAUACGGGAAGAAAAGUCUCUACGUGUAGAGAACUGACGGUACCGUAAGAAUAAGGAUCGGCUAACUCCGUGCCAGCAGCCGCGGUAAUACGGAGGAUCCAGGCGUUAUCCGGAUUUAUUAGGUUUAAAGGGUGCGUAGGCGGGAUAAUAAGUCAGUGGUGAAAGCCUGCAGCCUAACUGUAGAAUUGCCAUUGAUACUGUUGUUCUUGAGUAUAGUUGAGGUGGGCGGAAUGUGUCAUGUAGCGGUGAAAUGCUUAGAUAUGACACAGAACACCGAUUGCGCAGGCAGCUCACUAAACUAUCACUGACGCUGAGGCACGAAAGCGUGGGGAGCGAACAGGAUUAGAUACCCUGGUAGUCCACGCUGUAAACGAUGAUUACUCGUUGUGCGCGAUAUAUUGUGCGUGACUGAGCGAAAGCAUUAAGUAAUCCACCUGGGGAGUACGUCGGCAACGAUGAAACUCAAAGGAAUUGACGGGGCCCGCACAAGCGGAGGAACAUGUGGUUUAAUUCGAUGAUACGCGAGGAACCUUACCUGGGCUUAAAUGUAGAUUGACUUUUCUCGAAAGAGGAUUUCCCUUCGGGGCAAUCUACAAGGUGCUGCAUGGUUGUCGUCAGCUCGUGCCGUGAGGUGUCGGGUUAAGUCCCAUAACGAGCGCAACCCUUAUCGUUAGUUGCCAGCGGGUAAUGCCGGGGACUCUAACGAAACUGCCAGUGUAAACUGUGAGGAAGGUGGGGAUGACGUCAAAUCAGCACGGCCCUUAUGUCCAGGGCUACACACGUGUUACAAUGGCCGAUACAAAGGGAUGCUACCUGGUAACAGGAUGCAAAUCUCUAAAGUCGGUCCCAGUUCGGAUCGAAGUCUGCAACUCGACUUCGUGAAGUUGGAUUCGCUAGUAAUCGUAUAUCAGCAAUGAUACGGUGAAUACGUUCCCGGGCCUUGUACACACCGCCCGUCAAGCCAUGGAAGCUGGGGGGACCUAAAGUCUGUAACCGCAAGGAGCGGCCUAGGGUAAAACCAGUAACUGGGGCUAAGUAGUAACAAGGUA
This 1463-nucleotide ribosomal RNA is filed under the name metagenome. RNAcentral's name for it is "bacterial SSU rRNA". It matches the Rfam family "Bacterial small subunit ribosomal RNA". The record is from RNAcentral.